CAGAGGUCCCGAGCGUUGUUCGGAUUCACUGGGCGUAAAGGGUGCGUAGGCGGCUUUGCAAGUCUGAUGUGAAAUCUCCAGGCCCAACCUGGAAACGGCAUUAGAAACUGCGGGGCUGGAGGCUUGGAGGGGGAACUGGAAUGCUCGGUGUAGCAGUGAAAUGCGUAGAGAUCGAGCGGAACACCAGUGGCGAAGGCGAGUUCCUGGACAAGACCUGACGCUGAGGCACGAAAGCCAGGGGAGCAAACAGGAUUAGAUACCCUGGUAGUCCUGGCUGUAAACGGUGCACGUUUGCUGUAAGAGGAAUCGACCCCUUUUGUGGCGGAGCUAACGCGAUAAACGUGCCGCCUGGGGAGUACGGUCGCAAGAUUA
RNAcentral lists this ribosomal RNA (372 nucleotides) under uncultured organism. RNAcentral describes it as "bacterial SSU rRNA". It matches the Rfam family "Bacterial small subunit ribosomal RNA", at positions 526 to 896 of the family's 1533-position model. The record is from RNAcentral.